AGUGAACGCUGGCGGUAGGCCUAACACAUGCAAGUCGAACGGCAGCACAGUAAGAGCUUGCUCUUACGGGUGGCGAGUGGCGGACGGGUGAGGAAUACAUCGGAAUCUACUUUUUCGUGGGGGAUAACGUAGGGAAACUUACGCUAAUACCGCAUACGACCUACGGGUGAAAGCAGGGGAUCUUCGGACCUUGCGCGAUUGAAUGAGCCGAUGUCGGAUUAGCUAGUUGGCGGGGUAAAGGCCCACCAAGGCGACGAUCCGUAGCUGGUCUGAGAGGAUGAUCAGCGACAUUGGAACUGGGACACGGUCCAGACUCCUACGGGAGGCAGCAGUGGGGAAUAUUGGACAAUGGGCGCAAGCAUGAUCCAGCCAUACCGCGUGGGUGAAGAAGGCCUUCGGGUUGUAAAGCCCUUUUGUUGGGAAAGAAAAGCAGCAGGUUAAUACCCCGCUGUUCUGACGGUACCCAAAGAAUAAGCACCGGCUAACUUCGUG
This 492-nucleotide ribosomal RNA is filed under the name uncultured bacterium. Its description in RNAcentral is "partial 16S ribosomal RNA". It matches the Rfam family "Bacterial small subunit ribosomal RNA", at positions 29 to 507 of the family's 1533-position model. The record is from RNAcentral.